Eutrema salsugineum is the source of this 1365-nucleotide long non-coding RNA. RefSeq lists it as uncharacterized. The record is from RefSeq and is a predicted model, not a curated record. Lineage: Eukaryota; Viridiplantae; Streptophyta; Magnoliopsida; Brassicales; Brassicaceae. The transcript has 4 exons.
GAAACUCGUUCCAUCUUUUUUUUCUUAUUAACUAAGCGAGAGCUUCUGAAGAAGUGGUGAUUUCAUCGCCUUCGAUCACUCCCUGGAAAUUUUCUCGCUCUUCUAAAUUUCUCCCGGAAAAUUGUGCGAUCUUGUUUGGUUCUGUUUCCUGAAUAUUACUAUGUGCCUCUGAUUUCAAGCUAUCUCCAUUGAAUGUUAGCUCCAUCAUCGCCUCUUCCUUUGUUCCUCAUCAUUCCCAUGGGUUUAUUUUGGUUUGCAAUGCUUGAAGAAAGAGAGUGAACUGUAAAGGAAGCAAGGGGAGUUCAAAUGUUUGAUUUUUAGCUUUUUUGUUAAAUUUGGUGUCUGCGAAGAAUCAUUCUUAUCUUGUCCUCUUUAUAUCUUAAUCAUGAAGUUUGGCUCAACGGAUUUCUAGUUUUUUUGGCAUAUCAUAAUCAUUCUUAUCUUGUCCUCUUUUUCUUUGGUCAAUUGGUCAAAGAAAAACAUUGUUCAAUUGGUCAUAUGACCAAAUGGUCAUGGACAUGUUAUUUGACAGCUCUACCUUCGGAUCAUCUUCUUCGCUGGUUUCUUAGUUUGAAGGUUGGCAUAUCAUAACAUGUUUGGUUUUUUAAUUUUGAUUGUUAGAUUUUAUUUUGUUUUGAUAGAUGAAUAUGAGUUCGGAAUCGUCAAUUGGGCCUCCAAAGAAGUGUGCAUGUGGGUUGCCUGCAAAGUUUGCCACAUCGUGGACCGAUAAAAAUCCGGGAAGAGGGUUCUUCGGUUGUCGCUAGUUCAAGAAGGGUAGGAAUGAUCACUGCGAUUAUUUUGAGUGGUUCGAUCAAGGAGAAGUGGAUGGAUGGCCAAAGGAAGCAUUGAUUCGAGCUCGAAAUGAAAUUCGUGAGAAAGAGAAAGCCAUCAAUAUACUAACUACCCAAUUAAUGGAACUUCGUCUGGAAUUGGAGAAGCAUAAAGAGGAGGCCUCAUCGGAAACAAUUAAUGGGUCUGAAAGUAGUGAGGAUGAGAAAAAUUCUGUGGAACCCAAGGUUGGAUGGAUGAAACAAAUAUUUGGAAGGAUGUCUGUCUCCGAUGCAUAAACCGGAACUUUUCUUUUGGAAAAAAUAACUUUCUGUGAUUCAGAGCGUUUCUUUUGUUCUGUUUAUGUAAGGUGUAAGGUGUAGCUCAUCCUUAAUGUAAGGUGUUGUGUAAGGUGUUGUAAGGUGUUGUGUAGCUCAUCCUUCGUGAUACUCGUCACUGGUUUGACGGUGUCUUAAUGUUAAGUUAAGCUUUUGCGUCUUUCUAUUAGUUACAAUCAUUAUUAUUGUAAGCUUAUUAUUAUUUGUAGCCGGACUAUUGCGAAUAGCAAACGCGCCAUGAAUACUAUGUUUUUCGUAA